RNAcentral lists this ribosomal RNA (473 nucleotides) under uncultured bacterium. RNAcentral's name for it is "bacterial SSU rRNA". It matches the Rfam family "Bacterial small subunit ribosomal RNA", at positions 335 to 801 of the family's 1533-position model. The record is from RNAcentral.
ACUCCUACGGGAGGCAGCAGUAGGGAAUCUUCCACAAUGGGCGCAAGCCUGAUGGAGUAACACCGCGUGAGUGAAGAAGGGUUUCGGCUCGUAAAGCUCUGUUGUUAAAGAAGAACACGUAUGAGAGUAACUGUUCAUACGUUGACGGUAUUUAACCAGAAAGUCACGGCUAACUACGUGCCAGCAGCCGCGGUAAUACGUAGGUGGCAAGCGUUAUCCGGAUUUAUUGGGCGUAAAGAGAGUGCAGGCGGUUUUCUAAGUCUGAUGUGAAAGCCUUCGGCUUAACCGGAGAAGUGCAUCGGAAACUGGAUAACUUGAGUGCAGAAGAGGGUAGUGGAACUCCAUGUGUAGCGGUGGAAUGCGUAGAUAUAUGGAAGAACACCAGUGGCGAAGGCGGCUACCUGGUCUGCAACUGACGCUGAGACUCGAAAGCAUGGGUAGCGAACAGGAUUAGAUACCCUGGUAGGAUAGCG